Molecule: ribosomal RNA, 497 nt
Filed under: uncultured bacterium
Lineage: Bacteria
Description: partial 16S ribosomal RNA
Rfam family: Bacterial small subunit ribosomal RNA
Source: RNAcentral
GGUGAACGCUGGCGGCGUGCCUAAUACAUGCAAGUCGAGCGAACGGACGAGAAGCUUGCUUCUCUGAUGUUAGCGGCGGACGGGUGAGUAACACGUGGAUAACCUCCCUAUAAGACUGGGAUAACUUCGGGAAACCGUAGCUAAUACCGGAUAAUAUUUUGAACCGCAUGGUUCAAAAGUGAAAUACGGUCUUGCUGUCACUUAUCGAUGGAUCCGCGCUGCAUUAGCUAGUUGGUAAGGUAACGGCUUACCAAGGCAACGAUGCAUAGCCGACCUGAGAGAGUGAUCGGCCACACUGGAACGGAGACACGGUCCUGACUCCUACGGGAGGCAGCAGUAGGGAAUCUUCCGCAAAGGGCGAAAGCCUGACGGAGCAACGCCGCGUGAGUGAUGAAGGUCUUCGGAUCGUAAAACUCUGUUAUUAGGGAAGAACAUAUGUGUAAGUAACUGUGCACAUCUUGACGGUACCUAAUCAGAAAGCCACGGCUAACUACGUG